GCGGGUGUAGUUUAGUGGUAAAACCUCAGCCUUCCAAGCUGAUGUCGAGGGUUCGAUUCCCUCUACCCGCUCCA
RNAcentral lists this transfer RNA (74 nucleotides) under Bacillus sp. MUM 13. RNAcentral's name for it is "tRNA-Gly". It matches the Rfam family "tRNA". Rfam says of the family: Transfer RNA (tRNA) molecules are approximately 80 nucleotides in length. Their secondary structure includes four short double-helical elements and three loops (D, anti-codon, and T loops). The record is from RNAcentral. RNAcentral also lists the same sequence under 2 other names. Lineage: Bacteria; Bacillati; Bacillota; Bacilli; Caryophanales; Bacillaceae.